GUGUCAGCAGCCGCGGUAAUACGGAGGGUGCGAGCGUUGUCCGGAAUCACUGGGCGUAAAGGGCGCGUAGGUGGCUACUUAAGCGUGUGGUGAAAGUCCGGGGCUCAACCCCGGAUCGGCCGUGCGAACUGAGUGGCUUGAGCACUGUAGAGGCAGGUGGAAUUCCGGGUGUAGCGGUGGAAUGCGUAGAGAUCCGGAAGAACACCGGUGGCGAAGGCGGCCUGCUGGGCAGUGGCUGACACUGAGGCGCGACAGCGUGGGGAGCAAACAGGAUUAGAUACCCUGGUAGUCCACGCCGUAAACGAUGGGCACUAGGUGCCUGGGGGAGCGACCCCCUGGGUGCCGUCGCUAACGCAUUAAGUGCCCCGCCUGGGGAGUACGGCCGCAAGGCUGAA
RNAcentral lists this ribosomal RNA (395 nucleotides) under uncultured bacterium. Its description in RNAcentral is "bacterial SSU rRNA". It matches the Rfam family "Bacterial small subunit ribosomal RNA", at positions 505 to 898 of the family's 1533-position model. The record is from RNAcentral.